GACGAACGCUGGCGGCGUGCUUAACACAUGCAAGUCGAACGGAAAGGCCCUGCUUUUGUGGGGUGCUCGAGUGGCGAACGGGUGAGUAACACGUGAGUAACCUGCCCUUGACUUUGGGAUAACUUCAGGAAACUGGGGCUAAUACCGGAUAGGAGCUCCUGCUGCAUGGUGGGGGUUGGAAAGUUUCGGCGGUUGGGGAUGGACUCGCGGCUUAUCAGCUUGUUGGUGGGGUAGUGGCUUACCAAGGCUUUGACGGGUAGCCGGCCUGAGAGGGUGACCGGCCACAUUGGGACUGAGAUACGGCCCAGACUCCUACGGGAGGCAGCAGGGGGGAAUAUUGCACAAUGGGCGGAAGCCUGAUGCAGCAACGCCGCGUGCGGGAUGACGGCCUUCGGGUUGUAAACCGCUUUCGCCUGUGACGAAGCGUGAGUGACGGUAAUGGGUAAAGAAGCACCAGCUAACUACGUG
RNAcentral lists this ribosomal RNA (468 nucleotides) under uncultured bacterium. RNAcentral's name for it is "partial 16S ribosomal RNA". It matches the Rfam family "Bacterial small subunit ribosomal RNA", at positions 28 to 507 of the family's 1533-position model. The record is from RNAcentral.